Non-coding RNA from Populus tomentosa, 111 nucleotides. The record is from the annotation of a GenBank genome assembly. NCBI's taxonomy places the organism in Eukaryota, Viridiplantae, Streptophyta, Magnoliopsida, Malpighiales, Salicaceae.
GUGAUUAUACCAACACUAAUACACCAUAUCCCAUCAGAACUCUGCGGUUAAUGCUUAGGCGAGAGUAGUACUAGGAUGGGUGACCAUUUGGGAAGCCCACGUGUUGAACCU